ACGAGUUAGGGCCUCUGGCCCGAACCUCCAACCCUUUGUAUCAAAACCUCGUUGCCUCGGGGAGGCCCUGCCUCACGGCUGGCCCCCCGAUGGACCAGCUAAACUCUGCAUCUGUAUGACGUCUGAGUAAAGAUUUUAAAUUAAAUCA
This 148-nucleotide unclassified non-coding RNA is filed under the name soil metagenome. Its description in RNAcentral is "partial internal transcribed spacer 1". The record is from RNAcentral.